RNAcentral lists this microRNA precursor (123 nucleotides) under Gossypium hirsutum (cotton). RNAcentral describes it as "MIR7504 microRNA precursor family". It matches the Rfam family "MIR7504 microRNA precursor family". The record is from Rfam by way of RNAcentral. Lineage: Eukaryota; Viridiplantae; Streptophyta; Magnoliopsida; Malvales; Malvaceae.
AAUAGGAGAAUGAUAAGUCGGAUCUUUCCUCCUAAUUUUCAGUCAUUUCCUUCUGAAAAAAUUUAAAUACAACUUAAAAUGCUAAAAAUCAAGAGGAAAAAGUUGAUUUGUUAUUUUCGUAUU